RNAcentral lists this unclassified non-coding RNA (200 nucleotides) under Orbiliaceae sp. Its description in RNAcentral is "partial internal transcribed spacer 2". The record is from RNAcentral. Lineage: Eukaryota; Fungi; Ascomycota; Orbiliomycetes; Orbiliales; Orbiliaceae.
UUAAGUUCAGCGGGUAUCCUUAUCUGAUCUGAGGUCAAACCUUGAGAUGGGUAGGUUUUGUUCAGGCCGUACCGGUCGCGCUCCCUCCAACAAGUAGGUUUACUAUGUUUUCGGUCAGGCGGAUCGGCCAGCAGAGCUUACAACUUUAAAGCCGGGGCGGGUUUUGACGCCGUUCCGGGCUCAUGACCGACUGGUGUCGA